Molecule: long non-coding RNA, 367 nt
Filed under: Elaeis guineensis (African oil palm)
Lineage: Eukaryota; Viridiplantae; Streptophyta; Magnoliopsida; Arecales; Arecaceae
Description: long non-coding RNA (EGUI_LNC013776)
Source: RNAcentral
CCUGCUGAGUUGUACCGCUGUUUAAUUGGAGAGUAUUAUCGCCAAGUGAAUUUGAUGUCCCUCCUACCGUUCCUUGAGUAUUCCUCGCUCGUCGCGGAGGCAUAUUGACCUAUGUUAGAUUUGAGAUAAUAACUUAUCCUUAAUAAGGUUAUAACUUGUGACAAGUCAAAUCAUAAUUAUCAUAACUUAACCUUUCAAUUUCCUAAUGUCUAUCCAUCACUCACUUUAUUCUACAUGUCUCUAUCUAUCUACUUAUGCUCUGAUACCAUAUUAAUUGUCACGCCCCCGACCCGAGAUUGUGAAUCGAGGGUCAUGGCAACUGCCGCAUACUUAUAGAAUACUUUUCCCAUAAGCAUGCAAGGCAUCU